UAAUCAUUUAUUUAGUGUUAUUGUCUGUUCCUGUUUUAUUUUGUACUUACCUUUGUCUCUGUCUUUCAGAUCCUGCUCCUCAUGUUUUCCUGCCUUGAGCCUCCCUGCCCUGAUUGUGCUCACCUGUGUCUCGUUAUCCCCUGAUUGUCUGUGUGUAUAUAUCUCUGUGUUUCCUCCCUCAUGUUGCCAGUUUGUAGUGUGUUCCUGUGUGUGUCACCUUGUUCCAGCAUGUUUCCUAGUAGACUUAUAGUGAUUUUUGAUCGUGCCUGCCUUACCGUUUUGCCUUUUGCCUGCUCCCUCUGGAUUUGUUUGCCUUGAAGAUUUGCCUUCCUGUGUACCGACCUGGACUGUAAUUAAACUCUGCCUUUUCCUGAACUCAGCCACGUGCUCCUUAGAAUAUCCAGACAUAUUGGCCACUGCACUGGCUUUCCAUGAGGACACUGUGGGUCGACUUGAUAUGGAAAACCCAGGUUGAUGCUAAUAAACAGAUGUUUAAGUCCUCCGGCAUUAAUAGUUGUUGAAGUGCAUGAUUGAUGCAUCAGUCAGUCUCCAAUGACGUUCUACCCUUGAAAAGUAUAUAAAAUACCCCCUAUAACAA
Labrus mixtus (cuckoo wrasse) is the source of this 598-nucleotide long non-coding RNA. RefSeq lists it as uncharacterized. The record is from RefSeq and is a predicted model, not a curated record. The transcript is spliced from 2 exons. Lineage: Eukaryota; Metazoa; Chordata; Actinopteri; Labriformes; Labridae.